This 315-nucleotide ribosomal RNA is filed under the name uncultured eukaryote. RNAcentral describes it as "partial 18S ribosomal RNA". It matches the Rfam family "Eukaryotic small subunit ribosomal RNA", at positions 1470 to 1796 of the family's 1831-position model. The record is from RNAcentral.
CCCUUAGACGUUCUGGGCCGCACGCGCGCUACACUGACCAGUGCAACAAGCAUCCGUCCUUGGCCGACAGGCCCAGGCAAUCUUUGAACGCUGGUCGUGAUGGGGAUAGACUUUUGCAAUUUUUGGUCUUCAACGAGGAAUUCCUAGUAAACGCAAGUCAUCAACUUGCAUUGAUUACGUCCCUGCCCUUUGUACACACCGCCCGUCGCACCUACCGAUUGAAUGGUCCGGUGAAGCCUCCGGAUUGGCGCGCACCUCGGUGCCGCCGAGAAGUUGGCUAAACCUUACCAUUUAGAGGAAGGUGAAGUCGUAACA